UCAAUAACAGCACCAGGGCUUGACACCUGUCUUGUGCACGUGAAUGUCGAGUGGGGUUUGGUGAGUGCUUGUGUUGUUCGUUGUGGAUUGUCCUGUUCUGGUGCAUUGCAGUAGGCCUUCUGUUUUAUUCAUUUAUUUAUUUUUAUUUUUUUUAACCUUAAGAAGCUUGCUUGCACACUGAAGUGCAGCAGAGGCCAGAGUGGUUCCCCUCUCGCGCCUUCUCAGCUCUUCUCCAUUCCCGGACUCUCUCCCUAUCUCCACUUGCUUUUCAUCUCAUCCUAUAUUUAUAUCUUGAAGCUUUUUCCUUCCCUAGAUUUGAAGAGAUGGAGGCAAAUGGGGCAGUAGGAGGUAGAUGUUGUCAUGUCGCAACUGCUCUCUCUCUCUCUCUCUCUCACACUCUCUCUGUGUGGCAUUGAGCGGCAAGGCUAUGGUGUGGCUGAGCAGUGGUCCUGCAGUAGUUUGCAGAGGAGGAAAAUGCCAGUUAAUGUUUGGAUGGAGCUGAUGGGGUUACCGAAAGUGUGUGGAAGGGGGAAGUAUGGGUAGUGCUUUUCUUUAUCUUUUUAGAAAAUAUGUUUGGGAAGGAGCCAAUCUUUGUUCUAGCUUCUUUAGUUUCUGUGCACAUUUAUAUCCUUUGCUUUGUUUUUCACCAUCUAUUAUUUGAUUUUUCAAUUUCUGACAUAUGGCCAUGGUUACUCAUCUUUUUUGGCUCUUGACCCUUGGUCUCCUAUCUUAUGUUUUCAUUUUUUCACAUUGUACCUAUUCUGUAAAUUUUGCAAAAGUUAUUAUUUUUGUAUAAAUGUUAUUUGCUUUGAUUU
Long non-coding RNA from Malania oleifera, 815 nucleotides. RefSeq lists it as uncharacterized. The transcript has 2 exons. The record is from RefSeq and is a predicted model, not a curated record. Lineage: Eukaryota; Viridiplantae; Streptophyta; Magnoliopsida; Santalales; Ximeniaceae.